AAUCAACGCUGGCGGCGUGCCUCAGACAUGCAAGUCGAACGCGAAAGUCCCCUUCGGGGGACGAAGUAGAGUGGCGCACGGGUGAGUAACACGUAGGUAAUCUACCUUCGGAUGGGGAAGUAACAACCGGAAACGGUUGCUAAUACCGCAUAAUGCAGCGGCACCUAAUGGUGACAGUUGUUAAAGCGGGGGAGUCGAAAGACCUCGCGUCUGAAGAGGAGCCUGCGGCGGAUUAGCUAGNGGUAAGGUAAUGGCUUACCAAGGCGACGAUCCGUAGCCGGCCUGAGAGGGCGGUCGGCCACACUGACACUGACAUACGGGUCAGACUCCUACGGGGAGGCAGCAGUCGGGAAUUUGGCAAUGGGCGAAAGCCUGACCCAGCAACGCCGCGUGAAGGAUGAAAUCCCUCGGGGAU
This 415-nucleotide ribosomal RNA is filed under the name uncultured bacterium. RNAcentral's name for it is "bacterial SSU rRNA". It matches the Rfam family "Bacterial small subunit ribosomal RNA", at positions 32 to 424 of the family's 1533-position model. The record is from RNAcentral.